This 1249-nucleotide long non-coding RNA is filed under the name Anas platyrhynchos platyrhynchos (common mallard). RNAcentral describes it as "lncRNA (ENSAPLG00000016858.1)". The record is from RNAcentral. Lineage: Eukaryota; Metazoa; Chordata; Aves; Anseriformes; Anatidae.
AGACCCUCUUACCCCAUCCUGCAGCAUAUCUAGCACUUGCUGAUUGCCUAUCUUGGCUUGGACUGGCGCACGCUUCGUUGGGUUAGAAACUGGCUGGAUAGCCGGGCCCAAAGAGUUGUGGUAAAUGGAGCCAAGUCCAGUUGGAGGCCAGUCACUAGUGGCGUCCCCCAGGGCUCGAUGCUGGGGCCGGUCCUCUUUAACAUCUUCAUCAAUGAUCUGGAUGACGGCAUUGAGUGCACCCUCAGUAAGUUUGCAGAUGACACCAAGCUAGGUGCGUGUGUCGAUCUGCUCGAGGGUAGGAAGGCUCUGCAGGAGGAUCUGGAUAGGCUGCACCGAUGGGCUGAGGUCAACUGUAUGAAGUUCAACAAGGCCAAGUGCCGGGUCCUGCACCUGGGGCGCAAUAACCCCAAGCAGAGCUACAGGCUGGGAGAGGAAUGGUUGGAGAGCUGCCAGGCAGAGAAGGACCUGGGAGUGAUGGUGGACAGUCGGCUGAAUAUGAGCCAGCAGUGUGCUCAGGUGGCCAAGAAGGCCAACGGCAUCCUGGCUUGUAUCAGAAACAGCGUGACCAGCAGGGCUAGGGAGGUGAUCGUCCUCCUAUACUCGGCUCUGGUGAGGCCGCACCUCGAGUACUGUGUUCAGUUUUGGGCCCCUCGCUACAAGAAGGACAUGGAGGUGCUUGAGCGGGUCCAAAGAAGGGCGACGAAGCUGGUGAGGGGCCUGGAGAGCAAGUCCUAUGAGGAGCGGCUGAAGGAGCUGGGCUUGUUCAGCCUAGAGAAGAGGAGGCUCAGGGGUGACCUUAUUGCUCUGUAUAAGUACAUUAAAGGAGGCUGUAGCGAGGUGGGGGUUGGCCUGUUCUCCCAUGUGCCUGGUGACAGGACGAGGGGGAAUGGGCUAAAGUUACGCCAGGGGAGUUUUAGGUUAGAUGUUAGGAAGAAUUUCUUUACUGAAAGGGUUGUUAGGCACUGGAAUGGGCUGCCCAGGGAGGUGGUGGAGUCACCAUCCCUGGAAGUCUUCAAAAGACGUUUAGAUGUAGAACUUAGGGAUACGGUUUAGUGGGUACUGUUAGUGUUAGGUAGAGGUUGGACUCGAUGAUCUUGAGGUCUCUUCCAACCUAGAGAUUCUGUGAUUCUGUGAUUCUGUGAUUCUGUGAUCUUGGAAAAUUAUCCUUUUCGAUGAAGAAGCAGGAACACAUGAAUGCUUCCUCCAUUGUCCUUCCUUUUGUUUAGUUCUUUCCCACCCCCCAGAUGUU